Molecule: ribosomal RNA, 437 nt
Filed under: uncultured Clostridium sp.
Lineage: Bacteria; Bacillati; Bacillota; Clostridia; Eubacteriales; Clostridiaceae
Description: partial 16S ribosomal RNA
Rfam family: Bacterial small subunit ribosomal RNA
Source: RNAcentral
ACGGGAGGCAGGAGUGGGGAAUAUUGCACAAUGGGCGCAAGCCUGAUGCAGCAACGCCGCGUGAGGGAAGAAGGUCUUCGGAUUGUAAACCUCUGUUUUUAGUGACGAAACAAAUGACGGUAGCUAAAGAGGAAGCCACGGCUAACUACGUGCCAGCAGCCGCGGUAAUACGUAGGUGGCAAGCGUUGUCCGGAUUUACUGGGUGUAAAGGGUGCGCAGGCGGGACUGCAAGUUGGAUGUGAAAUGCUGAGGCUUAACCUCAGAACUGCAUCCAAAACUGUAGUUCUUGAGUGGAGUAGAGGUAAGCGGAAUUCCGAGUGUAGCGGUGAAAUGCGUAGAUAUUCGGAGGAACACCAGUGGCGAAGGCGGCUUACUGGGCUCUAACUGACGCUGAGGCACGAAAGUGUGGGUAGCAAACAGGAUUAGAUACCCUGGUA